GACGAACGCUGGCGGCGUGCCUAACACAUGCAAGUCGAGCGGAGUUAGUAAGAGGAAGUUUUCGGAUGGAAUCUUAUUGAUUUAGCGGCGGACGGGUGAGUAACGCGUGAGCGACCAACCUUGCACAGGGGGAUAACGGACCGAAAGGUUCACUAAUACCGCCUGAGACCACGGUGUUGCAUGACACAGAGGUCAAAGGAGCAAUCCGGUGCAAGACGGGCUCGCGUCCGAUUAGGUAGUUGGAGGGGUAACGGCCCACCAAGCCUAUGAUCGGUAGCCGACCUGGGAGGGUGAUCGGCCACAUUGGAACUGAGAUACGGUCCAAACUCCUACGGGAGGCAGCAGUGGGGAAUAUUGGGCAAUGGGGGAAACCCUGACCCAGCAACGCCGCGUGAAGGAAGAAGGUUUUCGGAUUGUAAACUUCUGUCCUUGGUGAAGAGAAGAAGACGGUAGCCAAGGAGGAAGCCCCGGCUAACUACGUGCCAGCAGCCGCGGUAA
This 498-nucleotide ribosomal RNA is filed under the name uncultured bacterium. Its description in RNAcentral is "partial 16S ribosomal RNA". It matches the Rfam family "Bacterial small subunit ribosomal RNA", at positions 28 to 523 of the family's 1533-position model. The record is from RNAcentral.